Molecule: long non-coding RNA, 1133 nt
Organism: Gorilla gorilla gorilla (western lowland gorilla)
Lineage: Eukaryota; Metazoa; Chordata; Mammalia; Primates; Hominidae
Exons: 8
Source: RefSeq, a predicted model, not a curated record
CGUUAACCACCCCCCACGUGCGCGGCCGCCUGUGGCCUCUUCCCGCCGCGGCCGGCCCGGCUCCUCUAGCCCCAGCUCCGGGGGACGCCGGGCACGGGGUCUCACUCUGUUGCCCAGGCUGGAAAUGCAGUGGCACAAUCUUGGCUCACUGCAGCCUCCACCUUCCAGACUCAAAUGAUCCUCCCAAUUCAGCCUUCUGAAUAGCUGAGAUUACAGCCUCUCAAGAGAAAAAUGGAGAAGCUGAAAGCCAUUCCCAUCUAAGAACUCAGAGGUGUCAGUUGUUUGCCUGCCAACGCUCUCAUGUGAACUAAGAGAAUGGAACCGCGCAUUCGUGAAGUGCUCAGAGCAAUAUUACACCACCAACAUGAGCCUGAUCAUAUGCACUCCUGCUGGCUAAAUUUUGAGGUCUAAAACCAUUUUUCACUUAAAGGAACCAACACACCUCAGAAAAAUGGCUGAUUCCAUGUCUGGGUCUAGGGAAGCACAGGAGACCUAAGUUGCCUAGGCUCGUCUCAAACUCCUGGCCUCAAGUGAUCCUUCUAUCUCAGCCUCUCAAAAUUCUGGGAUUACAGAACUCUGCAAAAACAGCUCCUGUCAAGGGCAUCCAUGACCAUCAUGCUGUCAAGGGCAAUGGCCUUUUCUCAGCAAGCAACCUGGAUGGAACUGGAGGACAUGAUGUUACCAACUGACAGUCAAUUAAUGAAAGUACAGGCAUUGAUUUAAGCAUCAGCAAUGGUGACUUUGGCUUCAACUCGUGGCUCAAUACUGAUGGGAAUAAUCAGUUCAGCCAUCUCAAAGAACUAUGCAAAUCAAUGAUUGCUUGUGGAUUCUCAUCUGGAAAGGAUCCCAUGUCUCAGAACCUUAAGCACAAGGAGUUUAUCUUCUAGCAGUUCUCAGAGUUUUGGUAGGCAUCUGGACAGGCCCUUUCACUUUGAGGAUCUUCUCUUUUGCGCCUCUGAUCAAGUCAGCCACACCUUCUCCAGGGGUUUUCCUUUGCGGCUGGAUAGCUUGACUUCAGUUCUGUGACUCCCCACCUCUGGCUCCAUGGGUGUCUUUCCGGUGUCUUUAAAGGCCAAGGCUUUGGCAAGGCUUCCUGGCCAACCUGUUCCUAGUCCAGAACGAGUUGCUCCUUG